AGUGAACGCUGGCGGUAGGCCUAACACAUGCAAGUCGAACGGCAGCACAGCAAGAGCUUGCUCUUACGGGUGGCGAGUGGCGGACGGGUGAGGAAUACAUCGGAAUCUACUUUUUCGUGGGGGAUAACGUAGGGAAACUUACGCUAAUACCGCAUACGACCUACGGGUGAAAGCAGGGGAUCUUCGGACCUUGCGCGAUUGAAUGAGCCGAUGUCGGAUUAGCUAGUUGGCGGGGUAAAGGCCCACCAAGGCGACGAUCCGUAGCUGGUCUGAGAGGAUGAUCAGCCACACUGGAACUGAGAAACGGUCCAGACUCCUACGGGAGGCAGCAGGGGGGAAUAUGGGAAAAUGGGGGAAAGCCUGACCCAGCCAUACCGGGGGGGUGAAGAAGGCCUUCGGGUUGUAAAGCCCUUUUGUUGGGAAAGAAAAGCAGCAGGUUAAACCCCCGCUGUUCUGACGGUACCCAAAGAAUAAGCACCGGUUAACUCCGG
This 491-nucleotide ribosomal RNA is filed under the name uncultured bacterium. RNAcentral describes it as "partial 16S ribosomal RNA". It matches the Rfam family "Bacterial small subunit ribosomal RNA", at positions 29 to 506 of the family's 1533-position model. The record is from RNAcentral.